Molecule: non-coding RNA, 22 nt
Filed under: Mus musculus (house mouse)
Lineage: Eukaryota; Metazoa; Chordata; Mammalia; Rodentia; Muridae
Also listed under: 1 other name
Source: RNAcentral
AGAGGUAUAGCGCAUGGGAAAA